RNAcentral lists this ribosomal RNA (655 nucleotides) under Escherichia coli. RNAcentral describes it as "partial 23S ribosomal RNA". It matches the Rfam family "Bacterial large subunit ribosomal RNA", at positions 604 to 1258 of the family's 2925-position model. The record is from RNAcentral. Lineage: Bacteria; Pseudomonadati; Pseudomonadota; Gammaproteobacteria; Enterobacterales; Enterobacteriaceae.
CCUUUUGUAUAAUGGGUCAGCGACUUAUAUUCUGUAGCAAGGUUAACCGAAUAGGGGAGCCGAAGGGAAACCGAGUCUUAACUGGGCGUUAAGUUGCAGGGUAUAGACCCGAAACCCGGUGAUCUAGCCAUGGGCAGGUUGAAGGUUGGGUAACACUAACUGGAGGACCGAACCGACUAAUGUUGAAAAAUUAGCGGAUGACUUGUGGCUGGGGGUGAAAGGCCAAUCAAACCGGGAGAUAGCUGGUUCUCCCCGAAAGCUAUUUAGGUAGCGCCUCGUGAAUUCAUCUCCGGGGGUAGAGCACUGUUUCGGCAAGGGGGUCAUCCCGACUUACCAACCCGAUGCAAACUGCGAAUACCGGAGAAUGUUAUCACGGGAGACACACGGCGGGUGCUAACGUCCGUCGUGAAGAGGGAAACAACCCAGACCGCCAGCUAAGGUCCCAAAGUCAUGGUUAAGUGGGAAACGAUGUGGGAAGGCCCAGACAGCCAGGAUGUUGGCUUAGAAGCAGCCAUCAUUUAAAGAAAGCGUAAUAGCUCACUGGUCGAGUCGGCCUGCGCGGAAGAUGUAACGGGGCUAAACCAUGCACCGAAGCUGCGGCAGCGACGCUUAUGCGUUGUUGGGUAGGGGAGCGUUCUGUAAGCCUGUGAAGGUG